CAGCCGCCACGGUAAUACGGAGGGGGCUAGCGUUGUUCGGAAUUACUGGGCGUAAAGCGCACGUAGGCGGCUUGGUAAGUUAGAGGUGAAAGCCUGGAGCUCAACUCCAGAAUUGCCUUUAAGACUGCCGAGCUAGCAGGUGAGAGAGGUAAGUGGAAUUCCGAGUGUAGAGGUGAAAUUCGUAGAUAUUCGGAAGAACACCAGUGGCGAAGGCGGCUUACUGGCUCAUACUGGACGCUGAGGUGCGAAAGCGUGGGGAGCAAACAGGAUUAGAGACCCCUGUAGUCCCUGUCUCUUAUAC
Molecule: ribosomal RNA, 301 nt
Filed under: uncultured bacterium
Lineage: Bacteria
Description: partial 16S ribosomal RNA
Rfam family: Bacterial small subunit ribosomal RNA
Source: RNAcentral